Bombus terrestris (buff-tailed bumblebee) is the source of this 1047-nucleotide long non-coding RNA. RefSeq lists it as uncharacterized. The transcript has 5 exons. The record is from RefSeq and is a predicted model, not a curated record. Lineage: Eukaryota; Metazoa; Arthropoda; Insecta; Hymenoptera; Apidae.
AUCGAAGGAAAUUGAGGAAAUCGAAUAAAUUUGAAGUUGAAGAAAGUAAGAGAAAGUCGAAACGAAGCAAACGCGAUUCCUUAAGCCACGAUGUUUAGGGAUUUUAUAAUCUUUCCGGUGACGUCUUCGACGUGGAAUACCCAGAAGCUGAGAAAUUGAUUCUGUACGAUGAAAAAGACGAUGUCUCCACAGAAUACAACGAUACAAUAGUGGAAAAAUUAUCGAUCGACGUAAAUCCUGUUGAGAAAUGCUCAGUUGGAGUCGACCACGCCUUAAUUGCUAAGACGCAUUGGGAGAGUUUAGACGUUUGGUGUGUGAUUUGGUGUUUUGUAUAAGAGAGAAAAUAAAAGGUGUGAUAACCAAUCCGAGUGGAUCCGAGAUUGAUUAUCAACCCCAACCUAUAUAAAAUAACAAAUCCCGAGGAAAUUGGAUACUUCUCUGGUCCUAAAUGGCAAAGGAACAGAUUAUCAAAGAAAAGACCAGCUGCUAAGGAUUCGCCGCCACGAUGGCUAGAACUUGGAAUAGCUGCCGAUUACUCCGUGGUAGAUUUUCAUGGAAUUCGAGUACAGCAAUAUAUCUUGGCUCUUUUAAACAUCGUCCGCCGUGGCGAUGCCAGACGAUCUCUCGAGAACGUGAACAAAUGGAACAGAAAGAUGCUGUCCUCGAAGGACAUAAAUCACGAUGUUGCUGUAUGGUUGACGCGGUUCGAUAUAGGAGGUCCUUCCAGUUACGCACCUGUGUCAGGAGUAUGCGAUCCCGCGAGAUCGUGCGCGUUAAAUCCAGACGAAGGCUUGACCAGCGCCUUUAUCAUCGCUCACGAAGUAGCACACAUGUAAGUGUCCCACAUGUUGGGAUAUCGUUGGCAAACUGAAAUAUUUAUAACUGGCCUGGGUAUUUACGCAGAGACCGUGUGCUAUUUAUUUAUGCAAAUACGUACUUUUACGAGAAUAAUUUGAAAAAUGAAAUCUCCAUAGGAGAACUUAUUAUCUUUACCGAAUAUCACAACGAGUACUGUACUUUGAAUCUGCCAUAGAUUUUUGCGUAUUA